UCCGGUUUGUCACCGGCAGUCUCGCAUGAGUCCCCAACUUAAUGCUGGCAACAUGCGACGGGGGUUGCGCUCGUUGCGGGACUUAACCCAACAUCUCACGACACGAGCUGACGACAGCCAUGCACCACCUGUGCACCUGCCCCGAAGGGCUGCCGUAUUUCUACGGCAUUCAGGUGCAUGUCAAGCCCUGGUAAGGUUCUUCGCGUUGCGUCGAAUUAAACCACAUGCUCCACCGCUUGUGCGGGCCCCCGUCAAUUCCUUUGAGUUUCAGCCUUGCGGCCGUACUCCCCAGGCGGGGUACUUAAUGCGUUAGCUUCGGCACAGGGGGAUUCGACUCCCCCCACACCUAGUGUUCAUCGUUUACGGCAUGGACUAC
RNAcentral lists this unclassified non-coding RNA (376 nucleotides) under uncultured Thermoleophilia bacterium. RNAcentral describes it as "contains 16S-23S intergenic spacer region". Lineage: Bacteria; Bacillati; Actinomycetota; Thermoleophilia. The record is from RNAcentral.